This 19431-nucleotide long non-coding RNA is filed under the name Marmota monax (woodchuck). The record is from RNAcentral. Lineage: Eukaryota; Metazoa; Chordata; Mammalia; Rodentia; Sciuridae.
CGGGGGUCCACUGCAGAGAAACGGGGGUCCAUUGCAGAGAAGCCAGUGUACAGCGGAGAGAAGCGGGGGUCCAAUGGAGAGAACCCAGUGUACAGGAGAGAGAAGCGGGGGUCCAGUGGAGAGAAGAUGAGGUUGAGUAGAGAGAAACUAAGGUCCAGUGAAGAGAAACCAAGGACUGAUAGAGAGGAUUCGAGAUCCAUUGGAGAUAAAGCGGGGUCAAGUGAAGAGAAACUGGAAUCUAAUGGAGAAAAACUGAGCAGAAGUGAAGAGAACAUUGAAAGAGUGAUAGAAAUUACUGGUGAUGAAAGAGGGAUAGAAUUUACAGAUGAGGAGAUGGAAAUUCCUUCUGAAAGUACAAAAAUGAGAGAUGAAGAACUAGAAGGGAUUGAGGAAGGAAUAGAAAUUGAUGAGGAUAGCCUUCAUGAAGUGAAAGAUAUUACUGGUGAAUUCGUUUCUAUGGAAGAGAAAAAUAUUACAGGGGAAGGUCCCAGUGGAUGAGGCAGAUGAAGGAUUGCAGCUAAAGAAGGAGAUAUCCAGGUAGGGGAACUAUUGAAAGUCAAAGAGGAGACAUUAGAGUCAUUAUUAGAGACAUUAUUGAUCUUGAAGGGGUAAAGAAGAGUCUAGAAAGAAGGAUGUGGGAAUGGAGCAGAGCUACUGGGCAUGAAGGCAGAGCCAGUACCAGUGGAAGGGGAAAAAAAAUAGUGGUAAAGAGGAAAAUAAGAACAUUCUGAGGAGAAAGAAUAGAUUUGGUAAUGUUAGAAGAAAAUUGGAUUUGGGGUUCUUAAAUAGCUCUUUGAGAAGUGGCUUUAGGAUGGGCUAGAAGGAUUUCAUCUGACACAUAAUUAGGGAGACAAUAUGCAGGCAUGGCCUGAUGAGAAGAAUUACAACAGGAUAAAGGAUAGAUAUCGAGGGCUGUGGAAGAAGCAGCAGGCCUGGAGUAAGCAAAAUGAAAAUGGAUCCUGAAGAAUGAGUGGCUCCAAAGUUACAAAAGCAAGUGAAGAGGAGAUGAGCAAAUGAAGGGGAAAAAACUCAAAAAGUAAGACGCCAUAUUCCAUAAUGAUGAUUAUGUUUGUUGGUUUUAAAUUUACUUCCUUCACUAUUUCUGUACUGGCCACUCCCAUGAAGCCAGUUUUACCAUCUACUGUGACAGGCCUCUUGCAGGGUCCUAUACACAUCUGGAUCAAAUUCAUCCUUAUGGAUCUUCUAAAUAGCACCAGAGUUGUACCCAGAAUAAUUGCUGGGCUGCACUGUUUAACCUACUUUAGCAGGGCCAGUAUGUCACAGGGUACCCCAACCUCCACCCCAAAUUUGAAUUACCCAUGCUUGAGAUGGGGUUAGUUCAAUUAUUUGUACCUGCUCUUUCUUUCUUCCUUCCUUCCUUCCUUUCUUUCUUUCUUUCUUCCUUCCUUCCUUUCUUUCUUUUUCUUUCUUUCUUUCAUGUGCCAUUGUGUCCAGCAGAAUAUUUAGUUUUUUUUAAUAUUUAUUUUUUACAACCUGUACACUCAGAAAAAUGAGAAAUUAUAUCCCAUCUGAUUCAAAUGUAUGAUAUGUCAAGAUCAUUGUACUGUCAUGUGUAACUAAUUAAAACAAAUUAAAAAAUGCAAAAACAAUAUUUUUUAAUUGUAGUUGGACACAAUACACUUAUUUUAUUUAUUUAUUUUUAUGUAGUGCUGAGGAUCGAACCCAGUGCCUCACACAUGCUAGGCGAGCGUUCUACUGCUGAGCCAUAACCCUAGUCCCCUGCUUUUUGUUUCUGUCUUUGACAUCUUAUUUAUUUAUUUAGUUAGUUAGUUAGUUUUAGUUAGGUGGGCACAAUAUCUUUUUUUUUUUUAAUAUUUAUUUUUUAGUUUUCGGCGGACACAACAUCUUUGUUUGUAUGUGGUGCAGAGGAUCGAACCCGGGCCGCACGCAUGCCAGGCGAGCGCGCUACCGCUUGAGCCACAUCCCCAGCCCCCAAUAUCUUUUGAUUUUUUAUUUUUAUGUGGUGUUGAGGAUUGAACCCAGCUCCCCGCGCAUGCCAGGCGAGUGCAUUACCGCUUAAGCCACAUCCCCAGCCUUUUGACUUCUUUUUUAAUAUUUAUUUUUUAGUUGUAAUUGGACACAAUACCUUUAUUUAUUUUUAUGUAGUGCUGAGAAUCGAACCCAGAGCCUCACACGUGCUAGGCAAGCACUCUACCGUUGAGCUAAAACCCCAGCCCCUAUCUUUGAUUUUUUUUAAAAAUAUUUUUUUAGUUGUCAACGGACCUUUAUUAUUUUUCUUUAUUUAUAUGCAGUGCUGAGAAUCGAACCCAGUGCCUCACACACGCUAGGCAAGCGCUCUACCACUGAGCCAUAACCCUAGCCCAUUGAUCUUGACUUUUAAUUAUUUAUCUAAUCACAUGAGGUUUUCCACAGCUCCCCUGUAUCUCAUUAAGGGUCUUCUUUUUAUGUUAUACACUCUCUACUCUUAUCCCAAGGAGGAGAGAAGGUCCCCUGAGUGUCUAAUGUGAAGACUUCCAUGUUAAGUCCAAGUCUUAACUUGGUCUGUUGGAUUGUUUGUCUCUUGGGCAAGAAUGUAAGAGGUGGCUAAAAGCAGAAAUAGGAUGAAAGAAACACUUACCAUUUUUAUCCUCUGUGUACUUUUAAAAGUCUGCCAAAUUUCUGAGUAGAAACUUUAUCCUAACACAAAUAUCAUAACACAAACAUAUAAUAGCUGGUGUUAUUGAUUAUAUUUUCUGCAUACUCUUGGGUAAUUUGUCCCAAAGACUCCAGAAGAUCAUUAAACCCCUUGCCAUAUUUUUGUUCAUGUAGUCUAAUCUAACAGAAAAUCAAUGGUCCUUGUUUCCCCCUCUCUCCUCUUCUUCCUCCUCUUCUUCCUUUCUCUCUCAUCUCUCCCUGCCCCCCUCCUUUCUUUCCUUCCUUCCUUCUUCCUUCCAUCCUUCAAAAUGUUUAAAUUAAAAUGCUUAUUUUACUCCCUUAUUCUUAGUCAACUGCAUCAUCUAAUGGCUUCCAAAAAAGGGACCAUGGGAGGUAAACUUUGUGAUAACUGAAUCUGUCUGAAAGUAUUAUUCUUUUCUCAUAUUUGAUUAAUAGUUUAGCUAGGUAUAGAUUCUAGGUUAGGAAUAUUUUUCCCAUAGAAUUUUAACUUCUAACACUAUCUUCUAACUCCAAAUGUUGCCAUUCAAGAUGUUGUUCAAGAUGUUCAAGAUGUUGCUGUUCUUUUUUUUAAGGUACUGGGGGUUGAAACUAGGGGUGCAUUACCACUGAUCUACAUCCUUAGGUCUUUAAAAAAAUUUUUUUUUUUUAAAUUUUAAGACAGAGUCUUGCUAAGUUGUUGAGGGCCUUGCUAAUUUGCUGAGGCUGGCCUUGAGCCUUGGCCUUGAGAUCCUUCUGACAGCCUCCUGAGUCACUGGGAUUACAGGCAUGUGGCAUUGCAUCUGGGUGUUCUUUUAUUUUGACUGUAAGGAUAUAUUUUUCUUUCCCAUGAAAAUUACCUGUUUUCAGGGCUGGGAAUGUGGCUCAAGCGGUAGCGCGCUCGCCUGGCAUGCGUGCGGCCCGGGUUCGAUCCUCAGCACCACAUACAAACAAAGAUGUGUGUCCGCCGAUAACUAAAAAAUAAAUAUUAAAAAUUCUCUCUCUCUCUCUCUCCCUCCCUCUCUCACUCUCUCUUUAAAAAAAAAAAUUACCUGUUUUCUGUCACUUCAUGGCUAAACCUAUAUACUCAUCCCUGCUGCGUUCCUCGACACUAAAACACUCAGGAUCACUCCAGGGGAACUGGGCUGCAUGAAAUAACCACACAAGAGACAGAGAUACCUUUUUCUUUAGGGGUCCUGUGACGGCUCCUCUGACCUUAAGGGUCCACAGAAAGAGAGAGAGAGAGAGAGAGCCAACACAUGCUGACCCUUUUAUUGAGAAGAAGCCAUUCAAAUGAGGCCAGGGGUCAGGUUUCAGGGGGCUGAGUCUAACUUCAUGAUGUCUGCUGUCAGCAGGUUGACUGACAUCUAGGAAGGCCACACCCAAAGGCAGAACAAGAGAAGGGGACACACAAAGGGUAUUUCCAUGGAACAUUCUAUCCCAAACAGGGCAAGGGAGUAAUAUCACAAAGGGACACCCCUGGGGUUGCAGGAAGGCACGCCUAUGCAUGAAGACACAUUCUGCUAUUUCGAGGAUCGGGGGGCAGUGUCUGGGGCCACUAUGAAUGUGGCCAGAUCACUAUGAAAAUGACCCACAGAGCCUCCACUGAUCACGAGAAGAAAUGCUGGUCACUCAGCGCGACGGCCCUCCCACAUCCCAUUUUCUGUUGAUGUUGGAACUUGAAUUAUGCAUCUUAUCCUUUUAUCUUUCUUUUUGUUCUACUCUUUGGUCAAGCUCAUUAACCUUACCCUUUCUAUUGAAUUUUUGAAUUUUAUUUUUUUUUAUAUUUAUUUUUUAGUUAUAGGUGGACACAAUAUCUUUAUUUCAUUUUUAUGUGGUGCUGAGGAACGAACCCAGUACCUCAUGCAUGGUAGGCGAGUGCUCUACCUCUGAGCCACAACCCCAGCCCCAUGAGUUUUUGAAUUUUAAUGUUUAAAUUUUAAAUUGUUGUCACUGUUUCUAUUGUGUGUGUGAGAGAGAGAGUGUGUGUGUGUGUAUAGCAUUGUCCUCUUGUUUUGUGUACAUAUUCUCUUAGCUCUCUUAGGGAGAGGAAGGGAGAAAAAAAUGAAUUGAUAGAGUCUGUUAGGUUUCACUACAUGAACUAUAUUUUUUCUGUUUUUUUUUCUGUUUUUCACACUGUUUCCCCUGAUUUUGCCUCCCCUUUUUUUUCUUUUGAAGUGUAUGUAUGCUGUUGGAGAUUUUCUUCAACAGCUUGCUUUUCAUAUUUGAUACUGAGACAUUAAGCAGAGCUAAUUGGAAACUAUUCACAUAGAUGGGGCAUGUCGAUUGAUGGGCUUCACCCUAUUGUGGGUGACUGGGACAAGCAGAAUUUUUUUCUGGGUACCCCCAAGUGUCAGAAUGUGUAGAUCAUAUUGUAGGGACUAUUUGGUUUCUCCAGAGAAUUUUCCAGUUACCUGCAUGGGGGAAUACUUAUGGGGCCACAAUGUUGAGAUUGUAGCAAUAGGGAAGGGGGUAUAGGGCUGUAGAUGUAGAUGUAGUAAGAUAUAUACAUUUUAUCGCAGUUUUUAUGUUUUCAGCUCAAUGGUAAAAAAAAGUUGGGGAGGGGAUUUGUGAAUUUAAUUGUUUUUUUGGUACUGGGAAUUGAAUCCAGGUCACUUAAUCACUGAGCCAUAUCCCCAUCCCUUUUUAUUUUUUAUUUUGAGACAGGAUCUCACUUAAUUGCUGAGGCUGGCCUUGAACUUUUGAUCCUCCUGCCUCAGCCUCCCGAGAUGCUGGGAUUACAGGCAUGUACCACUGCGCCCACAUUUAAUUGCUUUAUGUACAGACUUCUAAACAGUUUUUCUGCUUCCAGCUCAUUGUCCUUGUUCUAUCAGAGGUGUCUGGUCUCUCCAGGUCCUGAACAUUGGUGAAAGAUGACUGUUAUAUUUUUUGCAUACAUUCUCCUCUUUAGGCAUUUGAGUGUGUGUGUGUGUGUGUGUGUGUGUGUGUGUGUGUGUGUUGCUGGGGAUUGAACCCAGAGUCUUGUGCAUGCAAGGCAAGCACUCUACCAACUAAGCCAUAUCCCCAGGCUCUCUUUAGGCAUUGGAGUCUUCUACUGGGCUAUUAGUUCCAUUCCAUCUUCCAAAGCUGGUUGACAUCUCUAAUCCACCUCAUUGUUUUGUGGGUUUAUAACAUUUUUCUUUCUUUUUUUUUAAUAUUUAGUUUUUAGUUGUAGUUGGACACAAUACCUUUAGUUUGUUUAUUUAUUUUUAUGUGGUGCUAAGGAUCAAACCCAGGGUCUCGCACGUGCGAGGCGAGUGCUCUACCGCUGAGCCACAACCCCAGCCUCAUUUUUAUUUCUUUAUUUUCAUCUAACUGGGGUUUAGAGAUAAAUACAUGAAUGUAUUCAGUCUGCCACAUUGCAGAACCUUGCUUUUCCUCUUAAUGAUUUUUCCUAUGUGAGAAUAGUUAACAUAGUAAACAAGUCACUGUACUAUUGUGUCAGGGUCUCAUUAAGUUAUGUAGUGCCUCACUAAAUUGCUGAGGCUGGCUUUGAACUUGUGAUCCUUCUGCCUCAACCUCCUGAUCUGCUGGGAUAACAGGUGUGAGGAACCAUGCCUGGUUGUUAUUGUUUUUUGAGACUGGGUCUCACUUUGUAGCCCAAUCUGGCCUCCAAUACCCACACUUGAGAAAUCUUCUACCUCAGUCUCCCCAAUAGCUGGAACUACAGGCAUACCACCUUUUGAAUGUUUUCAUUUAGAUGGAAAAAUAAAAAGAUUAAAACAAUGAAGCUGGGAGCAAUGACACAUGCCUAUAAUCCCAGUGGCUCAGGAGGCUGAUGCAGGAGAAUCACAAGUUUGAGACCAGCCUCAGCAACCUAGUGAUACCCUGUCUCAAAAUAAAAAAUAAAAAUGGUUGGGGAUGUGGCUCAAUGGUAAAGUACCCCUGGGCUCAAUCCCCAGUACCACAAACAAAAAAUUGCUUUUGUUGGCUCAGGAUAUACUCAAGGGUUUACUAGUUGGAUGAGAUUGUUAACAUUUAUUUAUUUAGGAGCUGGGAUGGAACCCAGGGCCUUGCAUAUAUGCUAAACACACUCCACCAUGGAGGUACCCUCAGCUCCUGUUAACUCUUUUAAUCUACACAAGUCUACCUCUUGUCAUGUUUUUAACAGUUUGACUUUUUUCAGGAAUCCAGGCAUUUUUUUCUCUCUCUCUCUUUGGUUCCAGGGAUUGAGUAUGUCCAGGGCUUGUAUGUAACAAGGUAAAUGCUCUACCACUGAACUAUACCAUCCAGGUCCCCUCCCUUUAAAAAAAAAAUUGUAUAGGGUCUCCCUAGGUUGCCCAGGCUGACCUUGAACUUGAGAUCUUCCUGUCUCAGCCUCCUGAAACGCUGGGGUUACAGGCACGCAGCCUCAUGCCCAGCCCAGGCCAGUUCCACCUUCUGGAUUUAUCUGAGUGGGUUCUGAGGAUGGCAGGUGGUUCCAUCUUCUACCUGCUGCAAUUCCUGUAGUUUUUCAACUGAAAGUUGGAGUUCAGGAUCCUCAUUUUUCUUUCUCUGUCACUUUCCUCUUUGAUUCAGUUUCCUCCUGUAGUUGUUUGUUACUAUAAAGUAAAUUCCAUGGAGCAGCAGCAAGUGUCUGUGGGGACCUGUUCUGGCCUGCUGAAUGAACAGCACAUAGUAGGCACUCAGGAUGUAUUUGUGGAAUGAAUGAAUCCUUCACAUUCAGUGGCUUUAGUAGUCUUAGUAUCAUUUAACAUCUAUUGAAAAAAAAUCACUGUAAUAAUUUACCCUGUUUCUGAGAAUGCCUCUUGUUUUCAAAGGCCUCAAAGUCUGAAAAUGUCUUUAUUCCACACUUGAACUUGAGGUUUGUCCAGGCCCAGGAUUUGCUCUCUACUAUGUGGCAGACUGAAGGCGCUCUUUGUUUCCUUCCUUCCAGUGCAGCCACUGGAGUCCAGAUCUAUUUUUAUGCCGGAACCAGUUGCAGGGCUGGCCUUUAUGUGGAUGUGGCCUCUUUUUUUCUCUCUAUCUCCACUCUUUCUGCCUUUUCCUUGGUGAGAAGUUGAAUGCUUUCUCCUUCUUCAGUUCCCAUAGAUGGACAAUAGAGAUACUAAGAAUAUAUGAAGUUGUAAAGAUAAACUCCAUAUAGCUCAAGCCUAGUAGCAGAAUUAAAAAAAUUUUUUUUUUUUUAGUAGAUGGACAAAAUAUCUUUAUUUUAUUUUUUAUUUAUAUGUGGUGCUGAGGAUCGAACCCAGUGCCUCACACUUGCUAGGCAAGCGCUCUACCACUGAGCCACGACCCCAGCCCAGGAUCUUUUUGAUGAAUGAUAAUAAAAGCUAAUAUUUCCUAAACUCUUGUCAUAAUCAGAGUAUUUAAUAGGUACCAUGAUAGAACACUUUACCUGUUCUUUAUCAUUUAAUCUUUCCUACAGCUUUUUGCAGUAAGAACCAUUAGUCUGGGGCUGGGGUUCUGGCUCAUUGGUAGAGCGCUUGCCUAGCAUGUGUGAGGCCCUGGGUUUGAGCCUUAGCACUCCAUAAAAAAUAAAUAUAUAAAAUAAAGGUAUUAUGUCCAACUACAACUAAAAAAUAAAUAUUAAGAAAAAAAGAACCAUUAUCUAUCAAGCGCACCAACUAGAAACUGCAAGAGCCAGGCCAUCCCAGAGAGCCUCACCCCAGAGCACCCGAAAAGCUCUCUGUUGAACUGCUGCCCCCAUUCCUUCUAGACCAACCCCAGAAAUCAGUUUCCCAGGCUGCCAAAGCAAGCUCUGCUGUGCUGCUUGGGGGAAGAGGGGGAGAUGAGGUUGAGUCACAACCUUCCAUUCAUUUGGUGAAUGCUUUGUGGCAAGUUUUUAAGAAUACAAAUUCUAAAACAAUUAUGUUUAUUUUCUUCCCCAGGUCUGUGCCUCCCAGAGAGGAUGGCUUCCAGCCUCCUUUCUUGACUCUUCAGCUGAGGAAUUAUUCUCUCUCAUAAGAGGCUUGCAUGGACACAAGGGCAAGGUUCAGGCAGUUCCCCGUGUGUGAAAACCUCUCAGACUGGCACGUUGUAUAAAUUAUGACCCAAAUCAUCAGAUUUCUGUUCUUUGUCUGAAUGACAUUUUCACCUGGGAAAUCAUGCAUUCCAUGGAGGCCACAGAAAGACAAGUGAAUGUCAAGGCUCUGUGACAAAUGCCAGCCACCUGUAAGUGCAUAUUUUCAACUAUCUAGGUAGUUAGAGUUUUAAAUAUAACAUCUUUUUAUGCUAAAAUGAACCAAAAUGCACACAUUCCAGGGAACUUAAGGCUUUUUUUUUUUUUUUGGUGCUAGGGAUUGAACUCAGGGGUACUCAAUCACUGAGCCACAUCCUCAGCCCUAUUUUGUAUUUUAUUUAGAGACAGGGUCUCACUGAGUUGUUUAGCGCCUUGCCUUUGCUGAGGUGGGCUUUGAAUUUUCAACCCUCCUGCCUUAACCUCCUGAGCCACUGGGAUUACAGGCAUGUGCCACUAUGCUUGGCAAGUUGAGGGCUUUCAAUUGAUUUCUUUGGCUGGGUGUUGGGGAGUACUGGGUAUAGAACCCAGGGGCAUUUUACCACUGAGCUAUAUCCCCAGCCCUUUUUUAUUUUUGUUUUUGUUUUGAGACAGAAUCUCACUAAACUGCCCAGGAUGGCCUUGAACUUUUGAUCCCCUGCCUUAGCCUCCAGAGUUCUUGCUGGGAUUACAGGCGAGUAUUGCAGCACCUGCUCUUUUAAGUGAUUUUUAUGGGCCUUUUUUUUUUUUUUUUGUAUUCUUUCUUUCUUUAAAAUAUUUAUUUAUUUAUUUUAGUUGUAGUUGGACACAAUACCUUUAUUUUUUUAAUAUAUAUUUAUUUAUUUAUUUUUUAGUUUUCGGCGGACACAACAUCUUUGUUUAUAUGUGGUGCUGAAGAUCGAACCCUGGGCCACACGCAUGCCAGGCGAGCGCGCUACCGCUUGAGCCACAUCCCCAGUCCUAUUUUAUUUAUUUUUAUGUGGUGCUAAGGAUCAAACCCAGGGCCUUACACACACUAGGCGAGUGCUCUACCACUGAGCCACAACCUCAGCCCCUCCUAUUCUUUGUGGCAAGUAUAUUCCCAAAGAUCCCAAUUUCUUGCAACAGGAUAUAUUAAAAGUGAUGUUAUCUUUGACCUUGUUACAAUGCCUUUAUUAAUUUAUUUAGCAAACACCAAGAACUUAACUGUGUGCCAGCUAGAAAUUUUUUUAAAAAAUGUGUAAGGCAGCUGGGUUCACUGUCACACACCUGUAAUGUCUCAGCAAAUUGGAGGGCUGAGGCAAGAGGAUCAUGAGUUCAAAGCCAGCCUCAGCAGUUUAGUGAGGCCCUAAGUACCUCAGCAAGACCCUGUCUCUAAAUAAAAUAUAAAAAAGGACUAGAUAUGUGGCUCAGUGGUUAAGCACCCCUGGGUUUAAUCCCUGGUACAAAAAAAAAAGAAAGAAAGGCCAGGUUCUUGUCCUUGUUCUCCUAUUUUUUUUUCCUGGUGCUGAGGAUUGAACCCAGGGCUUUGUGCAUGUGAGACAAGCACUCUACCAACUGAGCUGUAUCCCCAGCCCCUACCUCGUGUUUGGCAGAUGUCAGCAAGUGGACUACAGGGCAUUUUGAGAUGGGCGAAAGGGCACUAUGCACUAGGUGUGGAGAGAUGCAGGGGAGUGAGGGCUCUACCGCAGGGGCUGGUUAGGGGGACAAUCAGAGAAGCCUUCAUGGUGGAAAUCACUGUUUUGGUCUGGAUUUAGAAGGGUGAGAUGUGGUCAAAAGUUGACAUGGAGGACAAACAAGGUAAGCAGAAAGAAUAUUAUUGCUGAGAUUUGAUGACAGUCAACAGCAUGGCUUUCAGGAAAGGCAAGGAUAGGGUAGGGUGUGGCUGGGGCAUAAAAAUGUUAUAGAUACUGGUAGGAUAUGAGCCUGGGGAGAGCCUUGAUUAGAGAAGUAGACUUUGUUCUGCAGGUGACAGGGAGAAUGAAUGCCAGCGUAAGCUGGGAGAGGGAAUCACAUGGGAGCAGCUGAUUUCCCGAGGCUGCUCAGGAAAGCAGGAUGCAUGACCAUUAGAUGAUUGUGAUAGUUCAGGAUGAAGAGAGUGAGGGUGAGGUCAUGCCUGGGAUAGAUUUGAGAGUUUCAGAAGUCUUAUUUAGCAGGACUGGCUGACUGGCUGUGGACAGAUGGAGAAAGGGACGCCAAGCUCAUGACAGCAGUGGCUGCCAUGACUACCAGGUGCUUCCUCCACAGAAGGCACUUGUGUGCAUCACCUCAUUUAAUCCCACAUCAGCCCUGUGGGAGGGAUUGCAUUGUUGUCAGCAAUUUUUUUGUGUGGGGGUACUGGGGAUUGAACUCAGGAGCACUCAGCCACUGAGCCACAUCCCCAGCCCUAUUUUGUAUUUUAUUUAGAGACAGGAUCUCACUGAGUUGCUUAGUGCCUUGCUUUGCUGAGGGUGGCUUUGAAUUUUCAAUCCUCCUGCCUCAGCCUCCUGAGCCACUGGGCCUACAGGCCUUGCGCCACUGUGCCCAGCUUGUCUGCAUUUUAUGGGGGUGGGGGAGUUGGAGCCCAGGGUAGUCCAUCCCAAUGACCAGCUAGUAUAUGGUGGUAGUAAGUGGUGGAGUUAGGAUCUGAACUGGAGGAAAUCAACGCCCUAGCUUCUCCAUCAUCCUGGAUCACCAAUUCUAAGUGGUUGGGAAGUGAAGCACCUACCCAGAAACCAGUUAAUGAGUGGUGGAUUGAGGCCUGAAACCUGCUAGAACCACUUACUAUUCCAAAGAGUGCACAGUCAGGCUCCUGUGUGCCAUAUCAGGCCAUAGAUAUAUUGUGUUUGGCUCAUAUUUUUAAAAAUAUUUAUUUAUUUAUUUUUGGUACCAGAGACUGAACCCAGGGGACUUUUCCACUGAGUUACAUCCUAAUUCCUUUUUUUUAAUUUUAAUUUCAAGAUAAGGCCUUGCUAAGUUGCUGAGACUGGCCUUGAAUUUGUGAUCCUCCUGCCUCAGCCUCCUGAGCUGGAUUACAGGAAUGUACCACUGCACUCAACUCAAACAGUAUUUUAAUACCACUUUUAGAACUAAUUUCUAACUUUUAAAAAUGUGGAGAUUCACAUUAACAACUCAGUUUCUGGCUUUUCCUGGAAAGUGAGGAGAUCUAAAUACACUGGCACCAUGCAGCCUCCAGACAGAGCUGUCUGUCCACAUCCUUCAGAUGGGACCUGUGCUCCCUCAUCUGCCUGAAACCCACCAGCCUAUCUGGGGCCUCUGCCCACCUCCACAGGCCCACAGGUGGGCUCCACCACAAUGUGUGCUGCUCAGCUGGGAUUAGAUGCCAGGCUGUCCUUUAAUCCCUGUCAAGCCCUGGUCUUUAUAGAUGGCCAAAUGCCCUUUCCAAGUUUUAGGGAAUAUAAGGCAAAAACAACCACGGUUUUACUUUGUUUGCUUUUUACCGUCAUGCUGUGGGAAUUGAGAAAAAUUCAAUACCCACCCAUGCUUGAGUGCCCAGGGCUGGAGGAGGGUUAAAUGUGGUUCCUGCAGGACAAAGGUGAAUGGUUGUAGUUCCUGAAACCAGCACAGGUUAAAAUGCCAACAAAUAGCGCUCAGAAAAUGGCAAAAGUCAUGGCCUAUUAUUAGUAUGCAAAGUAUGCUGUGAUGUUUUUGUUUAAUUUGUAAGGAAUCAUUUGCUUGGAUUUUGAGCUAUGUACUUUGGAUGUGUUAUAAGGAAGUUUUGAGGGGGAUGUGUGUGUGUGUAUGUAUGCGUGCCCACAUGGGACAGUGCUUGUAUAUAUGGGGUCGGGGGGCCACAGCUUACAUAGCUUAGAAUUUCUUAUAGGUGCUCAGUUCCAGAAGAACUGUUCUAACAGUUCUUCUUCCUUUACAUGCACUGCACCUAGGCAUUAAAAUAAAUAUUUUAAACUAAGAAAAAUAGUAACAGGAUUUGAAACCAGAUGGCAUUAGAAGAGACAGACAGAGAGAGAGGAAAGAGGGAGAAAGAAAGAGAAAGUCCAGGAAAUAUUUCCUUUAGAAAGUUUUAUGAUUUAUUAAAGGUUGAAAACAUGUUUCUGUACCAUUAAGUUAAAAUGUAAGGCUUGGACUGGCAAACAGGCAUUUGUCAAAAAUGUUUUGUCAAUAAUUAUUUUAAGAUAUAACAUAUAAUUAUUUUAAGAUAUAAAUUAUUUUAAGAUAUCCCAUGGCUGUGGUCAGUUUGGACAAAUGACCAAUCUGCAAUCUGUAAACUGCCAUCAGAUGCAAGAAGUCCACCGACACUAGAGCUGCCCAGGUUUGACUCCUAGUCUGCUCUUUGCACUCCGCCUGACAACCUUCCCUCGUGCCUGGCUGCCUGAUCCAGGCACUGGAGGAAAGUGAAUGUUGAUGCUGGCCAUGAGGUUUUCCAAGGCCACUGGGCACAAUUCUGGGGUUGCCACUGGGUCUCAGAGUCUCAUUGUUUUGCAAGGGUCACUGUUCUGUCACACCACACUGCCUCAACUUGUUAGAGGCAAGCUUUCCCCUGGGAACGAGAGUUAAUCAAAAAGUUCCUGUUGCACAUCAAUUUGGUCCUGGGUGUAAUUUCUACUCAGAUUACAUGGAUCUUGUAAGGUCACGCUCUGCUGCUCCCUGGACUCUGACCGCUGCCCGGCACCUUCUCCUUCCUCCUCAGAGACACCCUUCCCUGCCAAGAGCAGGCCUAGGGUGGGACCUAGACAUGGGCUGUGGCCAAUUCUUCUGUUCUCAGAUUGUUUCUUGACAGAUGCCCAAAACAAGAAGCUGGGGAUGAGAGGAACCCAGGCAAGCUCUGAUCCUGAACUUGGAUAUAGUUCCCUAACAGCUGGCAUUUUAUCUCAGUCACAUUAUAAUUUUAUUUUGUUGUGUUGCAAAAAAACCUAGGUUCCUCAAAAGAUUUGGCCAAGUUCAUAGCAAAGUUCUAGUACUUAUUCAUUCAUUUAACACAAAUUUAUUAAGUACCUAUUAUAUUUGUCAGAUACCAUUCCAGGAGUCAGGAUUAUUAUGACAGAGAACAAAACGGAUGAAUGGCCCUGUUCUCUUGGAGCUUACAUUGUUAUAGAAAGAAAAAUGAUGAAUGAGUAAUAUGUUCUAAGAAAUUUGAAGAAAAAUUUGUAAUCCCAGUGACUCAGGAGGCUGAGGCAGGAGAAUCAUAUUUGAGGCUGGCCUCAGCAAUUUAGUGAGGCCCAAGCAACUUAGCAAGACCCCAUCCCCAAUACCAGACCAAAAAAAAAAAAAAGAAAGAAAGAAAAAGAAAAGAGGGGCUGGGGCGGUGGCUCAGUGGCAGAGCACUUGCCUGGCAGGUGGGAGGCCCUGGGUUCAGUCCUCAGCACCACAGAUAAAUAAAGAUCCAUUGGCGACUAAAACCUAAAAAUAAAAAUAAAAGAAAAGAAUGAAAGAUAUUUGAAGAAAAAUCAAGCAGGGUAAGAGAGAGAGCACAAUAAUGGAGAGGUGGGCUGCUCUUAGGCUUUUCUGAUGGGGAGACUUGAAGCAGAGUGGGAAGGAGGCCAGGUGCUGCCAGGGAGCUGUCUGGAGGAGUCCUUUCCAGGCAGGGCAGCAGGAGGGCGUAGCUUCCCAGCCAGGUGUGUUAGUGGCCUGGUGAGUGGCAGCUUCUCACUGACUGUGUCCUGGCUGGGCCUUGUCUGCCUGUGGUGGGCUUGUUGGGAGGAACCAGUGGAAUCAUUUAUGUGAAAACAUUUGUAUAAACAUCAAACACUGUAUAGGAAUAUUCUGUUUAUGUUGUCUCCAUCAAGUAUUUGUAAAGUGGCUAAAUCAUCAAGUAUUAUUAACUAUAAUUAUUAUAUUGCAGUUCUGCCCCCUUUGUUUUCUUAUUAUCAAGGUGAAUUUCACCUAACAUUAACAUUGUUAUAUGUUACAAUCAGUGGCAUUUGUUCCAUUUAUAAUGUUGCCCAGCCACCACCUCUCUAGUUCAAAACUUUACCAUCAUCCAUGCUCUUUUUAUUCAUUUUUCUUAUUUAUUUAUUUACUUACUUUGUGGUGCUGGGUUGGAACCCAGGACUCAGAGCAUGCUAACCAGGCAUUCUGCCAUUGCCCCCAUAUUUUUCAGUAUUAAUUUAUGUUGUCACUCCUGAAAUAGGAUUUCCCCCAUUUCUGCUUUGUUCUUUCCAUUUCUGUCUGACCUGCACUAGUUCCUAUGGUUCCUCCUUGUCCUUAUUCAACAGGUAUUUAUCAAGGGCUGGGGUGUGGUUCAGGGGUAGUGUGCUUGCCUAGCAUGCCAAGGCCCUAGGUUCCAUCCCCAAAACUGCCACCAAAAAAAAAAAAAAGGUAUUUAUCAAGCAUCUAGUACACAGUAGGCAUAAUGCUAGACAGACCCGGGGAAUUCAGGGGUUUAGAUACUGAACAGAUAAUUGACAGGAAAUUUAAUUAUGAUACAUGUUUAUAAGGGGAAAAACGCUGUAAAUACUGUGUUAAAAAUUUUGUGUGGGCUAGAAAUGUGUGAGGUCCUGCAUUGGGUCCCCAGCACUGCAAAAAGUUAAAAAAAAAAAAAAAGUGAAGUUAUUAGAGCUGCUAGAAAAAAAGCUGCCACAUAAUUGUGUUCCCACGGCAAGAGACACUGGGGUGAAAGAUCUCCUCGGGGAAGUGAAAUGGAUUUUGCUUGGGCAGAAGCAGGCGUGGUACCGGUAAAAACAGCAGGGCCUCAUUCAUUUGCUCCUGAGAACGACCCUUUGACGUGAGCAAGGAUGACCGUCGCGCCCCUUUUACAGACGUGGAAACAGAGGUUCAGCCGGCUGUGCCUUUCUAAUGCCACCUAGGGGUUGUAGCUAGCGUGUCGCUUUAACCAACGACGGCCUGGUGGAGCUGAAAGCCUUUUGUCCAACAGAGGGCAGCCGCGCACCGGGCGGGGGCAGGAGACCGUCAGCGCCCCAGCAGAGGGCGCCGCCCCGACGGCCCGACUCCGGGAGUCCGGGUACAGGAGCCCAGCGCCUGCGGGCUUCUCUAUGCUAGUUCGUGCUUGUGUUUUCUUAAACGCUUGUUCUUUAAUCAAAUUGUAGGAUAACAGGUCAGAGCAGCUACCCGAGUCACCCGCAGCUGUGAGCCAGUGACCACCGACACCCGGUCUGCCCCUCCCAGGCCCGCGGCUUGCCACGCACCCUGCCCGCGGUCCUGGAGGCCGCACGUCGCUCAUGUAGGCGCAGCCUGGAGUUUCUUCAGGCGGAUGACCUGGCAGCCUUUGCACCCCACCCACAACUGGUUUCGCUUUCCUAAUGCUGUUAAAAGUGCCUUCUAACUGGAGUGGGGUGGCGGAACAGGUUUCAGCAUUUUACUUACUUUUUUAUAUGCUCAUUUAAGAUUUCUUUGGUUAGUCCCUUCCCUCCCCCUCAAGAAGAUGCCCAGCACUGCCCUCUUUGGCGUUUGCCCAAAGUCCAGGUUCUAAUAGCUUUUGACUGUGGUUUCAUUUUAACCAUAAAACCUACUUUUGGAAUAAUUACUUUUUAAUUUUCUGAAAAGGUCCGGUUUAGUGCAGGGCAAUAGUGGGUGAAGUUAUGUUCAUUUACUGCUAACCUACUUCUUUUUUUAAAAAAAGAGGCUGAUUUGGGGAAAAUGGAAAUUGUAACCAGAUAGAUCAGUUUGGACAUUUGUUUGAACAGCUGCUUUAAUCAAUUUAAUAAGCUCAGGUGUCUAGGGAGUGCAAACCAGAGGAGAGAAUGGGGGACCUGGAGGCCCCUGGGAAAUUGCUGAGCUGCAUAUGGCAGAGAAUGGCCUCUUAUCAGAGCUGUCCUGUGGGCACCUGUAUAGCCUCUAUUUUCCAUGACAAUAUGCAUUUCUGGGACAGAAAACACAGCCCUUUGUCUGAUGGCAUAUCAAGACCCUCACCAAUUCUCAUUUCUGAAAAUAUAAUUUCUUAAGAGUGUGUUUUCUUAAACACACUCUUCCUUAAGAAUUGCCUGACCCAGGCAGCAGUGGCAGAGCUGGGUCCAGAGAUCCCUGUGCUCCUUGAAAUAGUUCUACUUCCCCUUCUUCCUUCAUAACUCAAAUCCUUUGAUAAUGAUUACUUGUAUUUGUAAAACCCCAAAGGAUUCUUGAUGUAUCAAGGGCAGAAAUUGAUUAUCUCCCAUUUUGUGGUUUAGGUGGCAAACUCCUUAUUUGGCAAUUAAAAAAAAAAAUCGAAGAUGAGAAGAAAAUGGGAAGUAUGGUGGAGAUCAUUCUAGAAAAGAAAUACCAGUCUCCACUGAAGCAAACACAUUGAAGACUUACUUAUAAAAAUGGUCUCCACUUUACUGUAGAUUCAUACUUGGCUUACUUAAAUAUGGAGCUCUUCUGGAGCAUUUAGUAGGAUGGAGGACAGAAAAACCAGAGAUAUCCGUGGAAAAUCAGUCUUAUAAUAUGAAAAUCAAGGGUCUGAUUACCCAGUAGGAAAGACAUGAGUCUUUGGGGCUGGAGGUGUAGAUCAGAGGCAGAGCUCAUAGUCAGUGAGCACAAGGCUUAGCAGCCAGGAGAUGAGCCUUCCAUUUAGAAAAAUCUGACCUCGUGCAGACAUUUAUAAAGGCAGAUGCAAAAAGCCAGAUAUAUCCAUGCUGGCCUGUUAAUCCCACAAAAGCUCAGAGGCGCAGGGCGUGUGUCUUUCACAGCUUGACACUGUUGUGCUUCCUGUCCACUCUGUGAAUGUCCCAUCAACACAUCUAUCGGUUGUAUUUGGUGUGUCUGAGCAGAACAAUUCAUCCAUUCAUGAUCUGAGCUGGCAGAGUAGAGAACUCUGCUCCUCACUUCUCUCACCUCGGAAUUGGAUGGAAGAAGAGAGAAAGCAAAAUUUUCAUGUGCCCAGAGGAAAACAGGUACUGCAGAGAUGAGAGACGAAGAGAAGAGGAGGAGGAGGAGGAGGAAGAGGAAGGAAGAUUGCCAAGCUAGUGGGAGUUUGAUCACUGCUGAGAAUGCAUAUCUGUGUUGUCAUACAGUUUCUCGCCCAGCCUUCCAACUCAGCCCUGUGCUGGCAUCUCGGGCAGUUCCUCUGUUUCUCAGACCUUGCCCACUUCCUGAGGCCACUCUUCCCAUUUGGCUCUGGGCUGCCACAUGGCAGGACACCUCUUUCCUGAGUCUUUCCUAUGCACCUGCAAGGGUGGGAGAUUGAAGUGGCGCUCUCAGGUGAUGGUAGGCUCCCUGAAGGAAGCUGUCACCCCUAGGCUGUACUUAGUGAUGUCUCAAGGAGCCAUGGGAGGUGACAGUUGGGCACCCAUUCAGUUGGGAGGGAGAUAGCACGGAUUCUAGAUGCCUAUCUAAUGGAGCUAAGUUACCCUGGCCAAGGGCUUGUCUGUAUCUCAGCUGGUUUGGGGAUAGGAGAGUAGGAUUGGAAACUUUUAUUAUUAUUAUUAUUAUUAUUAUUAUUAUUAUUAUAGUUUGGACUGAACCACUGAGCAACAUUCCCAACCCUUUUUAUUUUUUAUUUUGAGGCAGGUCUCAAUAAGUUGCUUAGGGCCUUGAUAAGCUGCUAAGGCUGGCUUUGAAUUUGCGAUCCUCCUGCCUCAGCCUCCCCAGUUGCUGGGAUUACAAAUGUGUGUCAUAGCACUUGGCUAAGGGACUGGGAACUUUUGCACCAUGAAUGCUUGGCAUGUCAUGAUGAUUUUCCCAGAGCCACAUAACCAGCACACAUAGGUUGAGGCUUCUCUUUGUCUAGAUUCUAUCCUCAACAGCAUAGAAAAACCAGUGAGAACAAUAGAGACAGAAAAACAGAAGAUCCCGUAAGAGGCUCAGGUGCCAGAAGUCCUGGGAUAUUCAGGGGGUGGCUGUUGACUGAGGAGUCCUCUAGGGGCAUAAGGAGAACAUUCUGCAUAUUGGCCAUUGAGACAUUCCCUCUGAGUACUCUAAUCCUGGAGAGAAAGGAACCCAGGGCUUAAGUCAGAGUAUAGGGAGUUGACCUAAUUGUAAGGUUGUCUGUCUGUUUAAUUAACAGAUAGUUCUGUGGAGAGAGACAGCAAGGUCACACAUAACCAUGAAUAUUAGCAACACUGUCCUGGGGCUCUGGAAAAACUGAUGGCCAAGUGUUCAUCUGAAGACUCGUUCUGUCUUGGUCUCCAGGCUGGCACGGAUCGGGAAUAAAGGAAAAUAUGGAAGUGGCAUCCAAAUAUUGGUUCUGAAAAGCCAACGGACUGGGAAGAACAGGUGUGCACCUUUAGAUCCAGCCAUGGUCUAAGGAAGUCGCAGAUGCAUUACCUCGCCCUUCCCCUUGGUGCCUUGUGGGGCCCUGGAGGCCAUGUCGGAAUCACAGCAGCCGCGUAUGGGACAGCGCUGCUGACAGGGUGUUCCUGCACCAGACUUACCCUGUCAGCAAGACACUAUGUACAACAUUCAUUUGCCAAAUUGUGGCACAUUAUGUAAAUCUCUUUUAAGCUCACUUAAAUUGUUUAGAAAUAUUGUAGAUAGGAAAAGCUAGAAACACAUUUAACAAACCAUGAUUACUGAGAUUAGAGUGCUUUGAACUUGAGCAUUAGAGAAACUUGUGAACUUGUAGGAUUGACCAGGACAAGUGCCCAUCUCUUCUGAGAAGCAUUCAAGUUUGUUGAGGGUAACAGCAUUGGCUGAGAGGCAUUCUGGGAAGCUGGGAGCAGAUGAAGGGGGAAGGAAGGAAAGAGCUAAGAAGUCAGAAAACAUCUCCCAAUACCAAGAGUUAGUUUUCCCUGCACAAAAUGCUGGAGGUAGAACUGUCUGGGUCAGUUACCUGGGUCCAAGAACAAGCUGCCAGGAAGAAGCCCGCGCCACCCUGGACAAAGCAAUGGGGUGAAUGUCUCAUGGCAGCCGCUUUGAUUUCAAAGACAAAAUAGUUGAACCCCAGACCUCGCUGUAGCUGUGAAGCGUCACUCUAAAUUUAUAAGCUCAUUAAAGUAGUAUUUUUGACUGUCUACAUGUUUGGCUUUACAGAAAAUACACAGAAUGCUUCCAGCCACACCUAAGCCGCC